UACGUAGGUGGCAAGCGUUAUCCGGAAUUAUUGGGCGUAAAGAGCGCGCAGGUGGUUGAUUAAGUCUGAUGUGAAAGCCCACGGCUUAACCGUGGAGGGUCAUUGGAAACUGUUUUUCUUGAGUACUGGAGAGGAAAGUGGAAUUCCUAGUGUAGCGGUGAAAUGCGUAGAGAUUAGGAGGAACACCAGUGGCGAAGGCGGCUUUCUGGACAUUAACUGACGCUGAGGCGCGAAAGCGUGGGGAGCAAACAGGAUUAGAUACCCGGGUAGUCCCUGA
This 277-nucleotide ribosomal RNA is filed under the name uncultured prokaryote. RNAcentral's name for it is "partial 16S ribosomal RNA". It matches the Rfam family "Bacterial small subunit ribosomal RNA", at positions 524 to 800 of the family's 1533-position model. The record is from RNAcentral.